Molecule: long non-coding RNA, 2952 nt
Organism: Grus americana (Whooping crane)
Lineage: Eukaryota; Metazoa; Chordata; Aves; Gruiformes; Gruidae
Exons: 3
Source: RefSeq, a predicted model, not a curated record
CCGGCAACCAGGAGCCACGCACCGGUCCCCUUGGGUGUGUGCAGGAUGCUCCUGACCUCUGCCCACUGCUGCUGCUGCAUCGCUGGAGGAAACAUCUUCCAUCAAACAGGAGGCGUUUCAGCGAGGAUGUUCACUCCACACAUGUGCAGGAAAAAGCAAAACAGAGCGUGCCGUAACGACGUUGCUGGUGAAGAAAUGUGCCUUUCGCACAUGAGGCUCGGGAACCAGGUGUGCCAGGAGGAAACAUAGCCGUUUGGAGGCUCUGCUGUCACUAUUAGGAGAAAGAAACAAAGCAGGCAUGGGAGAAAGCAGGAGGAGGUACCAGGGAGAUGCUACCGCUCCCCCUGGACCUGCUGUGCCUCUCAGCCCUUUGCGUUUAUCUGCCCCAGCCCUGGCUUGCUGGUGCUCAGCCCCCCUGCUCCCCGACAUGGGGCUGCACGCCCCGCUCGCCUCCUGGGAAGUUCAGACCCAGGAUGUGAGGCAUGACGGUGAGACAGCAAAUACCUGCCGGCUCCUCGGCUCUGUUUUGAUGCCCUUUGCUCUGCCUUGCUCCAGCACUCGUGCUGCCUCCCGCCGCACCCGGGCAGAUGCGACACAUGGGGUUUGCUGCCCCGUGCAGAACGAGGGCACCGCAGCCCAAGCGGGCAGCACUGAACACCGAGAGCUUCCCUGCCCCGCAGAAAAAUCUCCUGUGGUUCAUUUUCCCUUAGCCAAGGAAUCAGCCUCCAAAAAAAAUGAUGGCAGUCCCAGAUAAUUAACCCAGUUCCUUUCUUCUCACUACCAAAAAUGCACCGUUCUCUGCAAGCAGCGGGUUGGCUGUUUUAAGUCUUUUUUCACCAUUUCACAGCCAAAACAUGAACAAUUACACAAGACCAGCAGCAGAGCUUAUCAGCCAUCGCCGUCUGUCUGCACAGAUCUGGAUGAACCGCGUUACAGGCAUGUCCCCACCAGCCUGGCUCCAACUGCCCCUGGUUUCUCCUCGGAGCUGCCACUUGCCUCAGUGUCCCCAGCAGAUCUUCCCAAGUAGGUGCCUGGUGGGAAACACAGGACCUCUCAACCUCCCUGCCUGGUGACCAGUGAUGGAGAUGACCUGGGAGAUGUUGGGGAUCUGAACCACAUGGCAUCGAUGUGACCGCACGUACCCGCUAACAGGAGCCAGGCGCAGGUACCAGCCCAGCUCAGCCCCUCGGGCUCCCUUCACUCCUCUGCAUCUGGAGGGGCUUCUCCAUCCCUGCCCAGUGCGGCAGCACCCAAGCAAAGGAUCUGACUUCAAAGCUUUUUUUCUUCCUUUUUAAUUGGGAGACCAGAUGAUUUAUUUCUUUUUAACAAAAAAUGUUGUUAUUGUGGAAAAUAUCUGCUCUCCACAGAAAAUGCCUUGCGUUCUCUGUACACAUUGUGGCCCAUACCAGAAAACAUCUGAUGUACUUCCAAAACCGCUGGGGCAUUUCUUUUCCUAUUAGAGUGGAAAUUUUCUUCAGGAAACAAGUUCUACCUAGUUUGCACUGACAUUUGCUGUGGCAGAAAGCAAGCAGCCCUGUCCCGACGCCACCCUUCCACCUCUGGGAUGUGGCAUCAUAGGGGCACCCUGGCAUGACCAGGCACCCAAACCUGCAGCACAAACCCUGGGUUUGACCCAAGCCUUGACUCAAGCCCCAUGGACCACUGAGCACCAACCACCAGCACACACGUGGGCUGGCCCAAGGGGGAACCGUGGCUUCUCGCGGCAAGAUGAUAUCUGUUUGAGAAACACAGAGGAAAAUCCAUUCCUUUAGUCCUAUCACCAGCUCCCUGGCGCCACGCGAGAGCCGAGAGGAGCGCAGCGUGCCCACCAGGCUCCCAGGGUCGCGCUGGCCCAAGGGUAGUUACGGAGAUGCCUUUUUCUGCCCUGCCGUGUGAGCUGCCCAGUACUGCGGCACUUCUUCUCUUUGUCCCAGGUCGGAAGAAAAGUCUGAAAGAUAAAUUUACUGUGGAAUAGCAACGUUUGCCUAUUAUAUCUGGUAAAGUGACCUGAUUUUAUCACCAUAUCUUCUGCCCAUAUUGCUGGCGUUUCACAAUGUGAAGCAUCAACAGCGCCCAAGGCAAACAUCUAAUAUAUUUAACAUUAGCCACUACGGCUGUACAACAUCAACGCUAAUUAAAAGUUUAGAAAGCUAAGUCAAAACCAAACGCUGCCAUUUCAAUUUAGCAUUUUCCAUGAUUAUUUUAUAGAAAUAAAAAAAAAAGAGAGAGAGAAAAACCACGAAAAAACCCUGCAAAUUUUACUCAUGUCUUUAAAUUCAUCUGUGAUUAGCACAGGUGUUAGGAUGGUGAUUACAGCAAGUCUACUCAUCGGUUUUCCUGCUGUGUGCACAGCACAAGGUAGGAAGUACGUGGGGAUGGCCGUUACGGUCCCUCCACAACAGCUCUGGCUGGGUUUGAGUCUGACAGCCCGGGACUUAAACUCUGCCCUGCUCGGGAGGAGCUGCACCCCUUCCAGCUGCGGACUAUUCCUUAACGCUGUCCCCCCCAGCAAAGCUUCCAGGGACAGUAAAGAAAAUUGCCUGUGCCUUCCCACCUGCAACACACCUUGUUUACUAACCGCUCCUCAUCAAGUGUUUAUAGCGUCAAAACCAUGGUGGCUCACCUCGCAUGCCGGAGAGCCCGAGGGCUCAUCAGGCAAGGGCUGGCUUUGCCGGCGACGAGCCCAGUGACGAUGCUGCAGUGCCGUGCGGCGCAGCCAGCCAGGACACAGCCAUACUCUGAAUUUCUUUCUUUCUUUUUUUUUUUUUUUUUUUCCAAGCAGUCUUCUGAGAAAACAUCUGCUGUGCCCCAAGCCUGCACCGGAGCUGAAGAUCAAAAUAAAGGACUUUUGUCUUUUUAUUAAGCAUUUUAGCAAACGUGACUAUUACAUUCAUAUUAUAUUUCCCUGUUUUGUACAAACACGUUUAAGUCAGCACUAAGAGGAUUACGUUU